GAGCGAGUCUACCUAGUAGCAAUAUUGGGUAAGUCGAGCGGCGUAAGGGGCAGUAAUACCUGGGAACGUACCCUGAGGUCGGGGAUAGCUGCUGGAAACGGCGAGUAAUACCCGAUGAUCUUGGAAAAGCAAAGGCUUGCCGCCUUAGGAGCGGCCCAGGCGAUAUUAGCUAGUUGGUGGGGUAAUGGCCUACCAAGGCAUAGAUGUCUAGCGGGUGUGAGAGCACGACCCGCGCCACUGGCACUGAGACACUGGCCAGACACCUACGGGUGGCUGCAGUCGAGAAUCUUCGGCAAUGAGCGCAAGCUUGACCGAGCGACGCCGCGUGCGGGAUGAAGGCCUUCGGGUUGUAAACCGCUUUGGUCCGAAAGAAAGGGUAAAACUUGAUCGAUCGGAGAAACAAGGACGGGCUAAGUUCGUGCCAGCAGCCGCGGUAAGACGAACCGUCCAAACGUUAUUCGGAAUCACUGGGCUUAAAGGGCGCGUAGGCGGCCGAGCGGGUCGUGGGUGAAAUCCCCCAGCUUAACUGGGGAACUGCUUACGAUACCACUGCGGCUCGAGGAAGGAAGGGGCAAUUGGAACUGUCGGUGGAGCGGUGAAAUGCGUUGAUAUCGACAGGAACGCCUGUGGCGAAAGCGAAUUGCUGGUCCUUUUCUGACGCUGAGGCGCGAAAGCCAGGGGAGCAAACGGGAUUAGAUACCCCGGUAGUCCUGGCCUUAAACGAUGAGAACUAGGUAGUGGGUCCGACCUGGGCACACUGCCGAAGCGAAAGUCUUAAGUUCUCCGCCUGGGGAGUAUGGUCGCAAGGCUGAAACUCAAAGGAAUUGACGGGGGCUCACACAAGCGGUGGAGCAUGUGGCUUAAUUCGAGGCUACGCGAAGAACCUUACCCAGGCUUGACAUGUCCGGAAGCCUGAAGAGAUUUGGGUGUGCCCGAAAGGGAGCCGGAACACAGGUGCCGCAUGGCUGUCGUCAGCUCGUGUCGUGAGAUGUUGGGUUAAGUCCCGCAACGAGCGCAACCCUUGUCGUUAAUUGCCAUCAUUUGGUUGGGCACUUUAACGAGACUGCCGGUGACAAACCGGAGGAAGGUGGGGAUGACGUCAAGUCCUCAUGGCCCUUAUGGGUAGGGCUUCACACGUCAUACAAUGGUCGGUACAGAGGGUUGCCAAGCCGCGAGGUGGAGCCAAUCCCAGAAAGCCGAUCGUAGUCCGGAUUGGAGGCUGCAACUCGCCUCCAUGAAGUCGGAAUCGCUAGUAAUCGCGGAUCAGCAUGUCGCGGUGAAUACGUUCCCGGGUCUUGUACACACCGCCCGUCACACCAUGGGAGCGGGUUCCGCCAGAAGUAGGUAGCCUAACCGCAAGGAGGGCGCUUACCACGGCGGGGUUCGUGACUGGGGUG
RNAcentral lists this ribosomal RNA (1397 nucleotides) under uncultured bacterium. Its description in RNAcentral is "bacterial SSU rRNA". It matches the Rfam family "Bacterial small subunit ribosomal RNA". The record is from RNAcentral.